RNAcentral lists this long non-coding RNA (244 nucleotides) under Elaeis guineensis (African oil palm). RNAcentral describes it as "long non-coding RNA (EGUI_LNC059297)". Lineage: Eukaryota; Viridiplantae; Streptophyta; Magnoliopsida; Arecales; Arecaceae. The record is from RNAcentral.
AGUGAGAGCCUAAUUUAUUUAAAAAUAAAAUUUCUAAACAAAUUGGUUAAGUCUGAUUACAAAAUCUAACUAGAAACUUUUGACUCUCUACAGAAAACAUGUCUGUGUCCAACCCCCUGACCAAAAUACUAGACACCCACAGAUUGACUGGAUCCAAUUUCAAAGACUGGUUGAGGAACUACAGAAUUAUUCUGGGUUUCGAGAAACUAACUCAUGUCUUGGACCAGAACCCACCUGCAAUGCC